GCGAGCGGCGAACGGGUGAGUAAUGCAUCGGAACGUACCCCUGUGGUGGGGGAUAGCCCGGCGAAAGCCGGAUUAAUACCGCAUACGCCCUGAGGGGGAAAGCGGGGGAUUCUUCGGAACCUCGCGCCAUUGGAGCGGUCGAUGUCUGAUUAGCUAGUAGGUGGGGUAAAGGCUCACCUAGGCGACGAUCCGUAGCUGGUCUGAAAGGAUGAUCAGCCACAUCGGGACUGAGACACGGCCCGAACUCCUACGGGAGGCAGCAGGGGGGAAUUUUGGACAAGGGGGGCAACCCUGAUCCAGCCAUGCCGCGUGAGUGAAAAAGGCCUUCGGGUUGUAAAGCUCUUUCAGUCGGGAAAAAACGGGGUUCUCUAACAUGCGGACUUAAUGACGGCUCCGUCAGUGCAGCACCGGCGUAACUACGUGCCAGCGCCCGCGUUGAAUACGAAUGGUUGCGAGCGAUUAAUCGUCAAUUACUGGGUUGUAAAGCGCUGCGUCAGGCGAACUGUGUACUACAGGCUGUGAAACUCCCCGGGGCUUACAGCUGGGAAACUGACGUCUUGUAACUGCACAGUCUAGAUUCCUGGCAGUAGGGGGUGUGAA
Molecule: ribosomal RNA, 600 nt
Filed under: Halomonas sp. Nit7
Lineage: Bacteria; Pseudomonadati; Pseudomonadota; Gammaproteobacteria; Oceanospirillales; Halomonadaceae
Description: bacterial SSU rRNA
Rfam family: Bacterial small subunit ribosomal RNA
Source: RNAcentral